AACUCUUAGCGGUGGAUCACUCGCUUGUGCGUCAAUGAAGAAUGCAGCUAGCUGCGAGAAUUAAUGUGAAUUGCAGGACACGUUGAUCAUCGACACGUUGAACACACUUGCGGCCCCGGGUUCCUCCCAGGGCUACGCCUGUCUGAGCGUCA
RNAcentral lists this ribosomal RNA (152 nucleotides) under Alligator mississippiensis (American alligator). RNAcentral's name for it is "5.8S ribosomal RNA". It matches the Rfam family "5.8S ribosomal RNA". Rfam says of the family: 5.8S ribosomal RNA (5.8S rRNA) is a component of the large subunit of the eukaryotic ribosome. It is transcribed by RNA polymerase I as part of the 45S precursor that also contains 18S and 28S rRNA. Lineage: Eukaryota; Metazoa; Chordata; Crocodylia; Alligatoridae. The record is from Rfam by way of RNAcentral.